Long non-coding RNA from Cottoperca gobio, 998 nucleotides. RefSeq lists it as uncharacterized. The record is from RefSeq and is a predicted model, not a curated record. The transcript is spliced from 4 exons. Lineage: Eukaryota; Metazoa; Chordata; Actinopteri; Perciformes; Bovichtidae.
GAGAAAACGAGACAGAACAGGGUGAUGUAGCUGAGGUCUGUUGUCUCAGACUCGGUCUGCCGAGCUUCGAUGAGCCGCCCGAUGUAGCGGUUGACUCGUGUUCCUGGCGAGGGCUGCACAGCUGUGGUUGAGGAGGACGUCCGACUCCUCAGCUUCUCUGGCGCCGUUCGCAGGGCUCUCCGCUGUCAGACACCAAGGAGACAACACAAUCAGUCUCCGCAGAGGCCAAGCCUGUCUGAUGUGUGACAGUUGACUGGUGUGGUGAGGCAUACCAAUGCAAAGUUUUGUGAGGUCAUGGCGUUGGAGAAGGGGAUCUCAGCCUUGAACAUCUUCCUACAGUGCAUCAGCUGCACCAACAGGUAGCACACCGUCUUGAACUUCAUCCUCUUGGCUGGUUUGAUGUCUGACAGAAUUAGACCUGGGAAGAUCUGUAAAUGAGGACGAAGAUAAUAAGAUGAACAAGAAAGAAAGAAAGUCCUAGAGGCUACUGAGAGGAAGGCAUGCCUCUCGUGGCCGAGGCCCGGCUCCACCUCGUAGUCUCCAUUCAAACACUCCAGGGUGGUCCUUGUGAUGUGCACCUUGCUGAGAGCACAAGCAGAGCAGAGGAUGCAGGGAAGUUAGUGACACUCAGGUCUCAAAUCAUUAUCCUCUUCAUUAUUUUCAUCGGCCUUCGGCUUGUUGAAAUUUUCAUGCAAACGACUUUUUUAAUCUGUUAACAAAUCCUACAAUCUUAUUACUUCACUUGAAACAAGACCAAAUUGAGCAAAUGCGGUGACCUCAUUUCACUGCUUUUUAAAUGUUAAUCAGCUCGUUACUGUACAUGAGUUUUCCCGAUUGAAGUAUUCAUUUAAUAUUAGUGGUCUGCUUUCAAUAUUCAGUGGAGAUAACACAGGAACAGGCUGAGAGGAAUAAACUGCUAGAGCUAGAGCUAGAUUUAACUAUUUGCUUAUUGCAGAUAUGUCGGUAUUGGCUUAUAACAAGAAACUGCAGUACAGAAA